UAAGGAAUAUUGGUCAAUGGACGCAAGUCUGAACCAGCCAUGCCGCGUGGAGGAUGAAGGUCCUCUGGAUUGUAAACUUCUUUUAUCUGGGACGAAACACUUCUUUUCUAAGAGGCCUGACGGUACCAGAUGAAUAAGCACCGGCUAACUCCGUGCUAGCAGCCGCGGUAAUACGGAGGGUGCAAGCGUUAUCCGGAUUCACUGGGUUUAAAGGGUGCGUAGGUGGGUAUGUAAGUCAGUGGUGAAAUCCCCGAGCUUAACUUGGGAACUGCCAUUGAUACUAUAUAUCUUGAAUACCGUAGAGGUAAGCGGAAUAUGUCAUGUAGCGGUGAAAUGCUUAGAUAUGACAUGGAACACCAAUUGCGAAGGCAGCUUACUAUGCGGUGAUUGACACUGAGGCACGAAAGCGUGGGCAGCAAACA
RNAcentral lists this ribosomal RNA (422 nucleotides) under uncultured bacterium. Its description in RNAcentral is "bacterial SSU rRNA". It matches the Rfam family "Bacterial small subunit ribosomal RNA", at positions 355 to 774 of the family's 1533-position model. The record is from RNAcentral.